AGUGAACGCUGGCGGUAGGCCUAACACAUGCAAGUCGAACGGCAGCACAGUAAGAGCUUGCUCUUACGGGUGGCGAGUGGCGGACGGGUGAGGCAUACAUCGGAAUCUACUUUUUCGUGGGGGAUAACGUAGGGACACUUACGCUAAUACCUCAUACGACCUACGGGUGAAAGCAGGAGAUCUUCGGACCUUGCGCGAUUGAAUGAGCCGAUGUCGGAUUAGCUAGUUGGCGGGGUAAAGGCCCACCAAGGCGACGAUCCGUAGCUGGUCUGAGAGGAUGAUCAGCCACACUGGAACUGAGACACGGUCCAGACUCCUACGGGAGGCAGCAGUGGGGAAUAUUGGACAAUGGGCGCAAGCCUGAUCCAGCCAUACCGCGUGAGUGAAGAAGGCCUUCGGGUUGUAAAGCCCUUUUGUUGGGGAAGAAAAGCAGCAGGUUAAUACCCCGCUGUUCUGACGGUACCCAAAGAAUAAGCACCGGCUAACUUCGUG
RNAcentral lists this ribosomal RNA (492 nucleotides) under uncultured bacterium. RNAcentral's name for it is "partial 16S ribosomal RNA". It matches the Rfam family "Bacterial small subunit ribosomal RNA", at positions 29 to 507 of the family's 1533-position model. The record is from RNAcentral.